UACGUAGGGUGCAAGCGUUGUCCGGAAUUAUUGGGCGUAAAGAGCUUGUAGGCGGUUUGUCGCGUCUGCUGUGAAAUUUCGGGGCUCAACCCCGAACUUGCAGUGGGUACGGGCAGACUAGAGUGUGGUAGGGGGAGACUGGAAUUCCUGGUGUAGCGGUGAAAAUGCGCAGAUAUCAGGAGGAACACCGAUGGCGAAGGCAGGUCUCUGGGCCAUAACUACGCUGAGAAAGCGAAAAGCAUGGGGGAGCGAACAGGG
This 258-nucleotide ribosomal RNA is filed under the name uncultured bacterium. RNAcentral describes it as "partial 16S ribosomal RNA". It matches the Rfam family "Bacterial small subunit ribosomal RNA", at positions 524 to 777 of the family's 1533-position model. The record is from RNAcentral.